RNAcentral lists this transfer RNA (73 nucleotides) under Minisyncoccota bacterium. RNAcentral describes it as "tRNA-Val". It matches the Rfam family "tRNA". From Rfam's summary of the family: Transfer RNA (tRNA) molecules are approximately 80 nucleotides in length. The record is from RNAcentral. Lineage: Bacteria; Bacillati; Minisyncoccota.
GCGCGAUUAGCUCAGUUGGUAGAGCAAUCGAUUUACACUCGAAAGGUCGUAGGUUCGAGUCCUACAUCGCGCA